CCUACGGGAGACAGCAGUGAGGAAUAUUGGUCAAUGGCCGCAGGGCUGAACCAGCCAAGUCGCGUGAGGGAUGACGGUCCUAUGGAUUGUAAACCUCUUUUGUCAGGGAGCAAAGGGCGCCACGUGUGGCGCUUUGCGAGUACCUGAAGAAAAAGCAUCGGCUAACUCCGUGCCAGCAGCCGCGGUAAUACGGAGGAUGCGAGCGUUAUCCGGAUUUAUUGGGUUUAAAGGGUGCGCAGGCGGAAUGUCAAGUCAGCGGUAAAAUUUCGGGGCUCAACCCCGUCGUGCCGUUGAAACUGGCAGUCUUGAGUACAGUAGAGGUGGGCGGAAUUCGUGGUGUAGCGGUGAAAUGCUUAGAUAUCACGAAGAACUCCGAUUGCGAAGGCAGCUCACUGGACUGCAACUGACACUGAGGCUCGAAAGUGUGGGUAUCAAACAGGAUUAGAUACCCCUGUAGUC
RNAcentral lists this ribosomal RNA (459 nucleotides) under uncultured bacterium. RNAcentral describes it as "partial 16S ribosomal RNA". It matches the Rfam family "Bacterial small subunit ribosomal RNA", at positions 338 to 795 of the family's 1533-position model. The record is from RNAcentral.